Molecule: non-coding RNA, 72 nt
Organism: Phrynosoma platyrhinos (Desert horned lizard)
Lineage: Eukaryota; Metazoa; Chordata; Lepidosauria; Squamata; Phrynosomatidae
Source: the annotation of a GenBank genome assembly
GACAGUGUGGUGUAGUGGUAUGAGUGCUGGACUAGGAUUCCAGAAAUCAGGGUUCAAAUCCCCUCUCAGCCA